RNAcentral lists this ribosomal RNA (513 nucleotides) under uncultured bacterium. Its description in RNAcentral is "bacterial SSU rRNA". It matches the Rfam family "Bacterial small subunit ribosomal RNA", at positions 28 to 533 of the family's 1533-position model. The record is from RNAcentral.
GAUGAACGCUAGCGGGAGGCUUAACACAUGCAAGUCGAGGGGCAGCAUAGGGUAGCAAUACUCUGAUGGCGACCGGCAAACGGGUGAGUAACGCGUAUGUAACCUACCCUGUACAGGGGGAUAACCCGGAGAAAUUCGGACUAAUAUCCCAUAACAAUAUCCGGGGGCAUCUUUGGAUAUUUAAAGUUCCGGCGGUACGGGAUGGGCAUGCGUAACAUUAGCUAGUUGGUAAGGUAACGGCUUACCAAGGCUUUGAUGUUUAGGGGUCCUGAGAGGGUGGUCCCCCACACUGGUACUGAGACACGGACCAGACUCCUACGGGAGGCAGCAGUGAGGAAUAUUGGUCAAUGGGCGCAAGCCUGAACCAGCCAUCCCGCGUGCAGGAAGACGGCGCUAUGCGUUGUAAACUGCUUUUCCAGGGAGAGAAACUUGCGCACGUGUUGCGCAAUUGACGGUACCCUGGGAAUAAGCAUCGGCUAACUCCGUGCCAGCAGCCGCGGUAAAACGUAGCGU